This 77-nucleotide transfer RNA is filed under the name Helicobacteraceae bacterium. Its description in RNAcentral is "tRNA-Pro". It matches the Rfam family "tRNA". From Rfam's summary of the family: Transfer RNA (tRNA) molecules are approximately 80 nucleotides in length. Lineage: Bacteria; Pseudomonadati; Campylobacterota; Epsilonproteobacteria; Campylobacterales; Helicobacteraceae. The record is from RNAcentral.
CGGGAUGUGGCGCAGCCUGGUAGCGCGCGCCCUUGGGGUGGGCGAGGUCGCAAGUUCGAGUCUUGUCAUCCCGACCA